GGCCCCGUAGCUCAACCGGAUAGAGCACCUGCCUUCUAAGCAGGUUGUUGCGUGUUCGAGUCACGCCGGGGUCGCCA
RNAcentral lists this transfer RNA (77 nucleotides) under Acidiphilium sp. RNAcentral's name for it is "tRNA-Arg". It matches the Rfam family "tRNA". From Rfam's summary of the family: Transfer RNA (tRNA) molecules are approximately 80 nucleotides in length. Their secondary structure includes four short double-helical elements and three loops (D, anti-codon, and T loops). Further hydrogen bonds mediate the characteristic L-shaped molecular structure. tRNAs have two regions of fundamental functional importance: the anti-codon, which is responsible for specific mRNA codon recognition, and the 3' end, to which the tRNAs corresponding amino acid is attached (by aminoacyl-tRNA synthetases). tRNAs cope with the degeneracy of the genetic code in two manners: having more than one tRNA (with a specific anti-codon) for a particular amino acid; and 'wobble' base-pairing, i.e. permitting non-standard base-pairing at the 3rd anti-codon position. RNAcentral also lists the same sequence under 4 other names. Lineage: Bacteria; Pseudomonadati; Pseudomonadota; Alphaproteobacteria; Acetobacterales; Acidocellaceae. The record is from RNAcentral.